AACGUAGGAGGCGAGCGUUAUCCGGAUUUACUGGGCGUAAAGCGCGUGUAGGCGGAUUGGUAAGUUGGCUGUGAAAGCUCCUGGCUUAACUGGGAGAGGUCGGUCAAUACUGUCAGUCUAGAGUAUGUGAGAGGGAAGUGGAAUUCCGGGUGUAGUGGUGAAAUGCGUAGAUAUCCGGAGGAACACCAGAGGCGAAGGCGGCUUCCUGGCACAUUACUGACGCUCAGACGCGAAAGCUAGGGUAGCAAACGGG
RNAcentral lists this ribosomal RNA (253 nucleotides) under uncultured bacterium. RNAcentral describes it as "partial 16S ribosomal RNA". It matches the Rfam family "Bacterial small subunit ribosomal RNA", at positions 524 to 776 of the family's 1533-position model. The record is from RNAcentral.